AUUCAAGCCUCUCCGGGAAACAACGCGAAGCGUCGACUUCAGAGAGUCGAUCCCAGCGAUGCCUCUCGGGAUAAGGAAGUCUGCAGGAGCCACCGAGAGCACGCAGACGUGGCGUUCGGUCAGUGUGAUGCCGUUUCCGCCCUGCGGGCCACACAUCCCGCCUACGCGCCCACCGAUGGAAAGCCUUCGGGUCCCUCUUUGUCUCUGACUGCCACUUCCUUCCUCGCUGCCCGCCUUCCUCUCCUCCGCUCCCCGGCCGGCCUGGUUGUGUCCUGAGCCCAGAGACGGCUGGCCUGCGGGUGUUGUGAGGCCCCCGCUGAGCAUCCACACAACCUCCUUUCUUCUCGUGCCUCCCUCAGAUCGUCUCUGUCUCCAUCCUCCUCUUUGUUUUGAAACCACGGUUUCAGAGACAGCGCAACAAUAGGCGGCAUCGCGUGACGAGUGCUCUGCUUUCUCUCCGAGCACUUCUCCAACAGUGUUACGCAAAGCGCACACACACACACACACACACACACACACACACACACACCGAGGAGGACCGAUACCAUCACGCUUUAAUGAUAAUGCAUCCAAUUAGCCGGGAAGUGGGAGCAGAAUGGGGAAGAAAACAUCAAUAUAAGGUCUGCCAAUUUUAUUUGUAUUUUCUCCGAUGAGGCCACAUUUGAAUACUUUUGUAGACAUGAAGAGAAAAUAAUUAGACAUUUCAACGUCCUUCAAGACAAGUCCAAAAGAAACAUUCUGUGUUCCAGAGUUGAUAUUCCCCACAGAAGCUUAGUCCUUAGUUUAAAUAACACUUAAAAGUACAGAACCCGGCUGUAUUACGAAAUAUUUUGCUCCUUAAACCAUAAAUGAACACACUAAAUAAUACCAAUACUAUUUAAUUAACGCCAUUUAACACAGAAAACCUUCCUAUUGAUCUCAUGACGUCCUCUCUGUACACGCAUGAAGUUAAUUUAAAU
Molecule: long non-coding RNA, 959 nt
Organism: Gasterosteus aculeatus aculeatus (three-spined stickleback)
Lineage: Eukaryota; Metazoa; Chordata; Actinopteri; Perciformes; Gasterosteidae
Source: Ensembl